Molecule: ribosomal RNA, 254 nt
Filed under: uncultured bacterium
Lineage: Bacteria
Description: partial 16S ribosomal RNA
Rfam family: Bacterial small subunit ribosomal RNA
Source: RNAcentral
UACGUAGGGUGCAAGCGUUAUUCGGAAUUACUGGGCGUAAAGCGUGCGCAGGCGGUUUGGUAAGUCCGGUGUGAAAUCCCCGGGCUUAACCUGGGAACUGCAUUGGUGACUGGCAGGCUUUGAGUGUGGCAGAGGGAGGUAGAAUUCCACGUGUAGCAGUGAAAUGCGUAGAGAUGGGGAGGAAUACCGAUGGCGAAGGCAGCCUCCUGGGCCAACACUGACGCUCAUGCACGAAAGCGUGGGGAGCAAACAGG